ACACUCCUGCGGGAGGCAGCAGUGGGGAAUAUUGCACAAUGGGCGCAAGCCUGAUGCAGCCAUGCCGCGUGUAUGAAGAAGGCCUUCGGGUUGUAAAGUACUUUCAGCGGGGAGGAAGGCGAUAAGGUUAAUAACCUUGUCGAUUGACGUUACCCGCAGAAGAAGCACCGGCUAACUCCGUGCCAGCAGCCGCGGUAAUACGGAGGGUGCAAGCGUUAAUCGGAAUUACUGGGCGUAAAGCGCACGCAGGCGGUCUGUCAAGUCGGAUGUGAAAUCCCCAGGCUCAACCUGGGAACUGCAUUCGAAACUGGCAGGCUAGAGUCUUGUAGAGGGGGGUAGAAUUCCAGGUGUAGCGGUGAAAUGCGUAGAGAUCUGGAGGAAUACCGGUGGCGAAGGCGGCCCCCUGGACAAAGACUGACGCUCAGGUGCGAAAGCGUGGGGAGCAAACAGGAUUAGAAACCCGUGUAGUCCCA
Molecule: ribosomal RNA, 473 nt
Filed under: uncultured organism
Description: partial 16S ribosomal RNA
Rfam family: Bacterial small subunit ribosomal RNA
Source: RNAcentral